Molecule: ribosomal RNA, 443 nt
Filed under: uncultured bacterium
Lineage: Bacteria
Description: bacterial SSU rRNA
Rfam family: Bacterial small subunit ribosomal RNA
Source: RNAcentral
GUGGGGAAUCUUGCGCAAUGGGCGAAAGCCUGACGCAGCAACGCCGCGUGUGUGAAGAAGGCCUUCGGGUCGUAAAGCACUGUCGAAGGGGAAGAGUGCCCGGUGUAUGCCGGGAGAGACGGUACCCUUCAAGAAAGCACCGGCUAACUCCGUGCCAGCAGCCGCGGUAAUACGGAGGGUGCAAGCGUUGUUCGGAAUCAUUGGGCGUAAAGCGUACGCAGGCGGUCUGGAAAGUCUGACGUGAAAUCCCGGGGCUCAACCCCGGAACUGCGUUGGAAACUAUCAGACUUGAGUAUGGGAGAGGUCCGUGGAAUUCCAGGUGUAGGGGUGAAAUCCGUAGAGAUCUGGAGGAACACCAGUGGCGAAAGCGACGGACUGGACCAAGACUGACGCUGAGGUACGAAAGCGUGGGGAGCAAACAGGAUUAGAAACCCUAGUAGUCC